GGUAACGGGGAAUUAGGGUUCGAUUCCGGAGAGGGAGCCUGAGAAACGGCUACCACAUCUAAGGAAGGCAGCAGGCGCGCAAAUUACCCAAUCCUAAUACAGGGAGGUAGUGACAAGAAAUAACAAUACAGGACUUUUUGGUUUUGUAAUUGGAAUGAGUUAAGUAUAAACCCCUUUACAAGUAUCAAUUGGAGGGCAAGUCUGGUGCCAGCAGCCGCGGUAAUUCCAGCUCC
Molecule: ribosomal RNA, 233 nt
Filed under: Cryptosporidium parvum
Lineage: Eukaryota; Apicomplexa; Conoidasida; Eucoccidiorida; Cryptosporidiidae
Description: partial small subunit ribosomal RNA
Rfam family: Eukaryotic small subunit ribosomal RNA
Source: RNAcentral